Molecule: long non-coding RNA, 754 nt
Organism: Tupaia belangeri chinensis (Chinese tree shrew)
Lineage: Eukaryota; Metazoa; Chordata; Mammalia; Scandentia; Tupaiidae
Exons: 4
Source: RefSeq, a predicted model, not a curated record
AGCCGGCCGGCGGGACUGUCAGGAUUCAGCCGAGGGAGAGAUUUAUCUAAGCCGAGUGGAGGGGCCUGUGACCUUGGGCUUGAGAGCUUUAAAGCGAACAGGCGGCUGUUGAAGAUGGAACAAAGAGAUGCUUGGCCCUCUCUCAAAGCAUCAAGGUUUCAGGUCCAGUUGAGACAGGAUCCAGCAGAUGGUUCUCAUCACCCACUCAGGGCAGAGCAACUGUGCCGGAAGCUGGUCCCAGGCAGCUGGGGGCUCCGUGGGACAUCAGAGCCAGCUUUGCUUCCAGACUGGGGCACCCCCACUUCAGACCGGAAGGAAACCCAGCUGGGGAGGUAUCACUAGCAACCUUCCCAACGCCCAGGGCCCCGACGGGAGGAGAACAGCUCUCUAGCGGACUGCUAAUUCUGCCUCAGAACCUUUCACUCCCUUUCAUCUGCAAGAACUGGUGCGCAGAGAUCCUGGGGGAGGCCUUCGGCACCCCUGCACCCUGGCCUCGGCGAGAUUCAGGCUCCGGGUCUUCUUCCCAAGACCGGGUCCUCUCUGCCUUCACUCCGCGUCGUUAUUAAGAGAUGAUGCAGGUCUAGGGGCAAGGACCCUUUGCUCUGGAAAAAUUAUGUGUGACACUUUACAUAUGGAUCAGGUAAUUAAUGGAUGCCCUGAUUUCCUCCACCAUAACAUGAAGAGGGUGAGCACAGCACUUUAAUUCCAGAUAAUUAAAGAGCGAUCGAGUUCGCACGCGCUGCUCGGGGAGUGC